RNAcentral lists this ribosomal RNA (505 nucleotides) under uncultured bacterium. Its description in RNAcentral is "partial 16S ribosomal RNA". It matches the Rfam family "Bacterial small subunit ribosomal RNA", at positions 28 to 507 of the family's 1533-position model. The record is from RNAcentral.
GACGAACGCUGGCGGCGUGCCUAAUACAUGCAAGUAGAACGCACAGUUUAUACCGUAGCUUGCUACACCAUAGACGGUGAGUUGCGGACGGGUGAGUAACGCGUAGGUAACCUGCCUGGUAGCGGGGGAUAACUAUUGGAAACGAUAGCUAAUACCGCAUAAUAUUGAUUAUUGCAUGAUAAUUGAUUGAAAGAUGCUAUUGCAUCACUACCAGAUGGACCUGCGUUGUAUUAGCUAGUAGGUGAGGUAACGGCUCACCUAGGCGACGAUACAUAGCCGACCUGAGAGGGUGAUCGGCCACACUGGGACUGAGACACGGCCCAGACUCCUACGGGAGGCAGCAGUAGGGAAUCUUCGGCAAUGGACGAAAGUCUGACCGAGCAACGCCGCGUGAGUGAAGAAGGUUUUCGGAUCGUAAAGCUCUGUUGUAAGAGAAGAACGGGUGUGAGAGUGGAAAGUUCACACUGUGACGGUAUCUUACCAGAAAGGGACGGCUAACUACGUG